UACGAAGGGGGCUAGCGUUGUUCGGAUUUACUGGGCGUAAAGCGCACGUAGGCGGACUAUUAAGUCAGGGGUGAAAUCCCGGGGCUCAACCCCGGAACUGCCUUUGAUACUGGUAGUCUUGAGUUCGAGAGAGGUGAGUGGAAUUCCGAGUGUAGAGGUGAAAUUCGUAGAUAUUCGGAGGAACACCAGUGGCGAAGGCGGCUCACUGGCUCGAUACUGACGCUGAGGCGCGAAAGCGUGGGGAGCAAACAGG
RNAcentral lists this ribosomal RNA (253 nucleotides) under uncultured bacterium. RNAcentral describes it as "partial 16S ribosomal RNA". It matches the Rfam family "Bacterial small subunit ribosomal RNA", at positions 524 to 776 of the family's 1533-position model. The record is from RNAcentral.